GGCUGGGUAGCUCAGCUGGUCAGAGCAUGCGACUCAUAACCGCAUGGUCGCGGGUUCGAGUCCCGCCCCAGCCA
This 74-nucleotide transfer RNA is filed under the name Chloroflexota bacterium. RNAcentral's name for it is "tRNA-Met". It matches the Rfam family "tRNA". From Rfam's summary of the family: Transfer RNA (tRNA) molecules are approximately 80 nucleotides in length. Their secondary structure includes four short double-helical elements and three loops (D, anti-codon, and T loops). The record is from RNAcentral. Lineage: Bacteria; Bacillati; Chloroflexota.